CAGUGAUUACUUUAACGGCCGCGGUACCCUGACCGUGCAAAGGUAGCAUAAUCAUUUGCCUUUUAAUUGGAGGCUAGUAUGAAUGGUCUAACGAGAGUAAAACUGUCUCAUAUAUAUUUAACAGAAAUUAACCUAAAGGUGCAAAGGCCUUUAUUCAUCAAAAAGACGAGAAGACCCUGUUGAGCUUUAAUCUUAACAAGCAUUUUUUUUAUAUUCAUAGAUUUAUUUUUGCCUGCUAAAGAUUUUAAUUGGGGCGAUUAAGGAACACCUACUAGCUUCCUGAUUAUAAGUUAAACCGAUCCAACAAUGUUGAUCAACAAAACGAGUUACCACAGGGAUAACAGCAUAAUUCUUCUCAAGAGCCCAUAUCGAAAGAAGAGAUUGUGACCUCGAUGUUGGACUAGGGUAACCAGAAGGUGCAGCUGCUUUCUUGUUUGGUCUGUUCGACCAAUAAUUCCCU
Molecule: ribosomal RNA, 460 nt
Filed under: Nerita undata
Lineage: Eukaryota; Metazoa; Mollusca; Gastropoda; Cycloneritida; Neritidae
Description: partial 16S large subunit ribosomal RNA
Rfam family: Bacterial large subunit ribosomal RNA
Source: RNAcentral